UGUCAAGGAGGUGAAUGGUUCCAUUACUCUUGUGUUGGGCUCACACCAGAGACAAGAUUCCAAGGGAAAUGGUCUAUGUUGCUGUACUUGGUAUUCUUCCCUACGGGAACAGAAGCAGCCAAGAGUUCUGGGUUCUGUAAAGUAGUUAAUUGUAUAAUUGCCUUGAAUUUGCUUCAAGCAGUGUCGUUGGGAAGGGAGUUCUUACUUGAAAGGUUAUAAAAAAUGUUUGAUGCUCGAAAGGACUCUGCUCUGAAUUCUUAAAAAUGAGUGCCCCCCCCAGACAAACCUAAACAACCCUCUCCCUCUCAGUUCUCUUAUUUGUAAUUUAACUUGAAAGUGAACUAGUGAGUAUUUCAAAAUGCAGGGGAGAUUCUUUA
Molecule: long non-coding RNA, 377 nt
Organism: Macadamia integrifolia
Lineage: Eukaryota; Viridiplantae; Streptophyta; Magnoliopsida; Proteales; Proteaceae
Exons: 2
Source: RefSeq, a predicted model, not a curated record